Capsicum annuum is the source of this 525-nucleotide long non-coding RNA. RefSeq lists it as uncharacterized. NCBI's taxonomy places the organism in Eukaryota, Viridiplantae, Streptophyta, Magnoliopsida, Solanales, Solanaceae. The transcript has 5 exons. The record is from RefSeq and is a predicted model, not a curated record.
UGUUUAACAAACUUAUAAUUUCAGUUAUUAGCAGAAUCUGGAGUUACUAAACAUUAUCUAAACAAUGACUGAUCUGAGACAAAUGAGGCUUGCUCAAUUGGUUGAGCAUCUCCAUCAUCAAUUGGUAGGUUAAGAGUUCGAGAGUUCGAGUCUGAAGGGUAAAUGGGAAUACUAUUGAUCCUCUUGGAGUUGGGGAACGGUGAGUCCGGUGGCUGGUCGUAUUGGAUCCGCUUAUGCCAAAAUAAUGUCUAUGGACAGUUUCUGAAAGCCAAUAGUGAACAACCUGUAACAUGAAAAAGAGCUUCAUUCAUGGAAGAGGUCCUCCGAGAGGCUGAUGUGAUAAGUCUACAUCCAGUUUUUGAUAAAACAACUUACCACCUUAUGAACAAAGGACGGCCAGCAAUGAUGAAGAAGGAAGCAAUACUUGUGGACUGUAGUAGGUGGCCUGUGAUUGAUGAAGUAGCUCUUGUUGAGCUUCUGAGGGAAAAUUCCAUGUUUCGUGUUGGCCUUGAUGUCUUUGAGGUA